AUUUUUUUCCCCCCCCGGUUGUUAAACUUUAASSWSAMRKWAGUAUUUGUUGGUUAUAGUUAUGAUGUUUAGUAAGAAGAAAAUUAAAAAAAUAAAGGGUGAAAUCAAUAUUAUUUAAUUAUUAAUAAAAGUGUUACUAAAUUUGAGACUAAUUUUUUUUGGGGAUGAACUAGGAUUAGAUACCCUAUUACACCAAAAGGUGACAUAAAAGAGCCUAAUUAUUUAUAGAUAUGUUCUUGAAAUUUGAAGAAUUUGGCGGUGAUUUAGUCUUGUCAGAGGAACUUGUUUUUUAAUCGAUAAACCACGUAGAAUCUUGCUCGUUUUUGUUUUCAGUCUAUAUACCAUCAUUAUUAGAUAAUCUUAUUAGAGAGGUAAUUAUUAAACUUUAUAGAGAAUUAAAAUUAGAUCAAGGUGUAGCUAAUAAACGAGUUAAAAUGAGUUACAAUAAAAUUUAUUUAUAUGGAUUUAUUAAUGAAAUUUUAAAAAUAAAAGUGGAUUUGAUUGUAAUAAGAGUUUAAUAAGCUUAAAAGAUAUAAGUUCUAAAUUAUGUACAUAUCGCCCGUCGCWYUMMKUUUAAGGAUGAGAUAAGCAACAAAAAAAAGAAGAGAGAA
RNAcentral lists this ribosomal RNA (611 nucleotides) under Pilumnidae sp. 2 KYKC-2019. RNAcentral's name for it is "partial small subunit ribosomal RNA". The record is from RNAcentral. Lineage: Eukaryota; Metazoa; Arthropoda; Malacostraca; Decapoda; Pilumnidae.